This 234-nucleotide unclassified non-coding RNA is filed under the name uncultured fungus. RNAcentral describes it as "sequence contains ITS1". The record is from RNAcentral. Lineage: Eukaryota; Fungi.
GUAUUGAUUGCGUGUGACCGCAAAAUAAAUAAAUAAAAAGAACAUUCUACACUGUAUCAAGUUUUAUGUGAAAACGCAAGCCCUCCUGCAAAGGGGGGCCCACGCGGUGAUGCACAAAAGGGGUGAGAUGGAUUGUGUGAGAGUGCUCGGGCGUGCACGACAAAAAAAAGCCAGCGACAACCCUCGUACCCCCAUUGUACGAUAAUGAUCCUUCCGCAGGUUCACCUACGGAAA